CAUGACCUUAAACUGAACAGCCCUGGUCUAGAUGCAUGGACAUAAACUGCAUGUCUGUAGCAGAGGUCUAGUUGCACGACCUUAAACUGCACGGUCCUAAUUGCAUGGCUCUAAACUACAUAACCAUGGUCCAAACUAUAUGACCUUAAACAGUAGCAGAGGUCUAGCUGCACAACCUUAAAACUGCAUAGUCCUAAUUGUAUGACUUUAAACUGCAUAACCAUGGUCCCAAAUAUAUGACCUUAAACUGCAGCGGAGGUCUAGUUGCACAACCUUAAACUGCACGAUCCUAGAUGCAUGACCUUAAACUGCACAUGUAAGGGCCACAAUUUUCUCCGAAUACAGUAUCACCGCGCGAGAAGAGAGAUGUGAUGUCGAGCGAGAAGGCGCAAGGAUUAUCACUGCACAUGAAAGGUGUAUGGAGCAUAAUCUGAGGCAUCGCCACGUGUAGGAGCUUAAUGCCGUCAGUAACGAAGCGACAGAAAAGAGAUGAAAGAGCAGUGCCAGCUAGGUGUUUGAAAGUGCAGCACCAGCUGGGUGUUUGAAAGCACAGCACUGGCUGGGUGUUUGAAUCUUAACGCCGUCAGUAACGAAGCGGCAGAAAAGAGAUGAAAGAGCAGCGCCAGCUAGGUGUUUGAAAGUGCAGCACCAGCUGGGUGUUUGAAAGCAUAGCACUGGCUGGGUGUUUGAAAGCAUAGCGUCGACUGAGUGUUUGAAAGCGCAGUGUCUGAGUGUUUGAAAGCGCAGUGUCUGAGUGUUUGAAAGCGUAGCGCCGGUUGAGUGUUUGAAAGCGCAGCACCGGCUGGGUGUUUGAAAGUAUAGCACCGGCUAGGUUUUUGAAAGCGCAGCGCCGACUGGGUGUUUGAAAUUACAGUGCUGGCUGAGUAAGACAAAGACAUAGUGCCGGCUAAGUAAGAGGAAGACAUCAACGUCUGUGAAUUCAAGGCCUAGCGCCAGCUGUGACCCAACUCUGUAUGGAAAAGAGGAGUAAGAAAGAGUAGUGCGGGGAGUGUCUUGGUCAAACAUACAUCCUCCAUACAUGUCAGCGCCGCUCCGUAUGUGUCAGAGCCAUGAGUGAUGGCGUUAGCCACAGUGCUUUACAACCACCCCCUCCUUUUAAAACCUUUUUCCUCCCCUAUGUAACACCAUCUUCCCCAUUUUCUCAACUUUGGAGCCCACUGUUGCCCCUUGAAGACAACCAACGGGUGAAGGUGUGGGAAAGCCAAAGAAGGCUAUUGAAGGAGAUUGAAGACACCGUGAGAAUCAAGCUAAGUGGGUUUAGUUUUUAUGCAUCCAUGACUGUUGUAAAAAUAUUGAAAUGAUAUAAAGGAAAACGUGAAGUGUGAAUGGGUUGACAUGAGGAUGGAACUUUAGAGUUAUGCUUCUAAAUGCCAUGACUACUUGAACCAUGCAUAGAUGAUUUUUUUAUUCAUGAAGACUCAUGAAAUUUCUCAUUGUGAGGCUUUCUAACAUGAACAAGGUUCCACGCCCAAAGUGUACUGUGGCCAUGAAAUAUUAAGUGCUUCUUAAAAGCGUAUUAACUCGAGAAUAUGAAUUUCCAGAGUUGUAAUGUUUUUGCAUCUAUAUGUUCAAUGACUAAAUGGCGUCCAAAUGGGACCAAUUAGUCUCAAAUGAAAAGCAGAUAUCUACUUCAAGUUUUCUUUUUAUGGCAUGAUGAAAUCUCGUACGUAUUAGAAGAUAUAGCUUAAGAUGCAAAGCCAUGUUCGCACAGUCGCUGUAAAUUCCAGUGAUUGUGACCCUUAUUGGGCCACACUUUUGGCCUAGCAAACAGUACCCAAAAACCUUGAAAUUACUACCAUUCAAAAGGUCUGUGAAUGUACUCAAGGUUGCAUGUUUUGAAGUUUUUGAAAUUCCCCACGGAUUUCGAAUUAUGACGCGAAAUGAGCGAGUAUGUCUCUCCGCACUGUUGCAGGGAGGAUUUCCAGCAACUAAUGAUCACAUUGUACUGAGCUAUUGACCCAUCAAAUGGCACCAAAAUUUCUUCAAAUCACUAUUUUUGUAAAGAACUAUGUAUUAGCUCAAAGUUUCAUGUUUGAGGCAUCCUGAAACUCCCCCUACAACGGGAGCUAUGCCCCCGCUAAGAGGGGCAUGUCACUGUUACUUGUCACUGCAUCAUUGUAUGACCAUGCGACGCUAAGUUAUCUUGAUAUAUGAUAAAUGUGAAUGCCAUAUAAUAAAUUCCAUGAGAAUGCGAUAAAGAUAUGUGAAUGAUACCGUGUAAACUGAACUUUGUGAGAAAGAGGGGCCACAAGUACGAUAGUGAUGAAAUGAAUUCAUAAUGAAUGUCAAAUGCUACUGAGAGGGCUCAUGUGUAAAUUCCAUGUGAAAGCUUAUGAAAUGCAUGUAUUUUGCUUAAUGCUAUGAUUUUAUGAUGAAAUAUGAUUCAUCUAUAUGAGACAUUGAUUUAUGAGAAUGUGAUUCAUCCAUUAUGAGGCAGUAAAUUGGCUACUACACGGUGGGACACUCACCGGUAGUGGAUAUUAUUAUGAUACUGUAAUGAAUUGGCCACUACGUGGUAGGACACUCACAGGUAGUGGAUAUUGUUGCGAUAUUAUGAUAAAUGGCCAAUGCUUAUGUUGUAUUGACCACUACAUGGUGGGACACUCACCGGUAGUGGAUACUGCUAUGAUAUUGCCUGCCACGCGAUGGGACAAUCAUUGGUAGUAAGGAAAGAGAUGCCGACAUAUCCCCUAACCUGCAUAAUGAUAUGAACGGGUUAAGGGAGAGGAUAGAGGAUCGCACCCAAGAUUUAUGAAAUGAAAUGGCUGAUGCUUUGCAAGGUAAGGGCAUAUCAAACCCCUAAUACUUGUUGGGGACUCUGUGUGUGUGUUGAGGGUAUUACGAAAUAGAUUAACCCACUUGUCAUUUCCCUCCCUCCUGUACGAUGGUAGAGGUCUUAAGCAAUGGGAUUGGCUUAGCCUGAUGGAUAGGGACUCUACUGCGGGAGUAGGUGAUUUAGGGAGUGAGUGGAUAAGAAUUGAUUUCUUGCAUAAGGAAUGUUUAGUAUUACAAUGAUUGGAUGAUUAAUAAUUUCACUGAUCAAAUGCUUAUGAUCAAACCAAUUCAAAGGUAACUGUCGUUUAAAUGAAAUGUUCAUAUUCGAUGUCUUGACCUGAUAUGCAUGUAUGCUAAAUUAUGACUUUAUAUUGAUGAACUAUAUUGUUUUCACACAUGGAUAGAACCGCCACAUAUGCAUGACACUAGAUCUGCUUACUGGGCUGUAUAGCCCAUCCCAUUAUUUCUUCUCUCCUUGUAGAAUGAUAGCAACAGGUGCAGAGCUCG
This 3303-nucleotide long non-coding RNA is filed under the name Amborella trichopoda. Its description in RNAcentral is "long non-coding RNA (ATRI_LNC001952)". Lineage: Eukaryota; Viridiplantae; Streptophyta; Magnoliopsida; Amborellales; Amborellaceae. The record is from RNAcentral.